This is a long non-coding RNA of Bos taurus (domestic cattle), 774 nucleotides long. NCBI's taxonomy places the organism in Eukaryota, Metazoa, Chordata, Mammalia, Artiodactyla, Bovidae. The record is from Ensembl.
GUCAGUGUCUUAUUUACCUGAAUGACAUGCACAUCAUGGUAGGCAAUAGUUGAGAACACAGAAGUGCAAUCUGUGUGCAGAAGAAAGCAGGCCCAUAAGACCCAGAAACCCAUGUUCUUUUUUCUAAAUUCUACUGAGUCUUUAUCAGCACUGUCUAAAAGAACUUUCCAUGAUGAUGAAAAUGUCCUUCAUCAACAGUACUAGCAACAACAUGUGGCUCAUGAGCGUUUGAAAUCUGGAUGGUGCAGCUGAGAAUCACAGGGGAGCUUGUUUGGUUGAGAAUCACGCCAGGAAAGUCAAGGACAUCCAUUUGAGCCCCAUCAGUGGGAUCACUGUGUUCUAUGGCUGCAAACGGAACCCGCAGCUCCAACUGGUUGUCCGGAGUCUUUGUCACACACAUACACGCACCCACAUACACGCCACCACACCUUCUGGACCAGUGGAGAUUCGGUGCGGCUGCCUGUGGAGCUAAUUUGAGGAAGAUGCUGAAACCAGGUCUUGGCUCUGCUGGAAGAACUGUCAUACUGGUGGAUCUUCCCAACCCAGGGAUCAAACCCUCAUCUCCUGCAUUGGCAGAAGGAUUCUUUACCGCUGAACCAUCAGGGAAGCCCCAGAUAACUGAAGACCCAUCUUGAAAAGUGCGGGUGCUUUGGGAACAGAGCAAGUUUCAACUCUGCUGUUCAACACAGAAAUUCCUCUUGGAGGAAUCUAGUCUCCAAGUACACAAAGGAUAUUCAUGGAGAGUCACUGCAGCAGCACUUUUAACAAUAAAAC